AAUAAUAUUAUCUUUCCUCUUUUUAUCGUAAUCUCUCUCUGUAUCGCUAUCGUCUCCUUCUAUCUAUUUGUUCUCUCCUCUUUUUUGUAUCGUCCCCCGUAUUGAUUUUUAUUCUCAUAUUUAUAGUAGAAGGGGCGGCAAGAGAUAUUUUGAGGAGUCGGUUAGGGAUUCGAAAUUCGAAAUCAAAUUUUGAAUCGGUUGUUUGAUGGAUAGGUAUUCAAAAUUCGAAUGGAUGUGGUUGGUUGGAAGAUAUUUUGGGAGUUGGUUGGGGAUUCGAAAUUCAAAAUCGGUUGUUGUGGUUGAUUGGAAGAUAUUUUGGGGGUUCGGUGGGGAUUCGAAAUUCAAAAUCGAAUUUUGAAUCGAUUGUUGGAUGGAUAGGUAUUCAAAAUUCGAAUGGAUAUGGUUGGUUGGGAGAUAUUUUGGGAGUUGGUUGGGGAUUCGAAAUUCGAAAUCGAUUGUUGUGGUUGGUUGGAAGAUAUUUUGGGGGUUGGUUGGCGAUUCGAAAUUCGAAAUCGAUUUUUGAAUCGGUUGUUGGAUGGAUAGGUAUUCAAAAUUCGAAUGGAUGUGGUUGGUUGGUAGAUUUUUUGGGGUUGUUUGCGGUUAGUUGUGAGAUAUUUUGGGAGUUGGUUGUGGUUUGUUGAGAGAUAUUUUGGGAGUUGGUUUAGAAUUUGAAAUCGAAUUUCGAAUGGGGUUGUUAGGAUAAUAGAUAUUUUCUAGGGUGUGGAUAUAGGCCGUCAUUGAUUGGGCCUACUUUAAUGAAAUAUGUUGGGCACAAAUAAUAACAUUCAAUGGGCUGAAAUGAGACCCAAAUUAUUGUAUCGACCAAAAAUUUUAAAGGGCUUUCAUGAGGCUCACCAACUCGCAUCCAUGAAUGGGCCUAUUAUGAAUUUAAAUUAUAAUUAUUGGCCCCAAAAUUUCUAGGUCAAUAUGAGACCUACUGGGAUUGUAUGAGUCUGAAUUUAAUCGGUUUUGGUUAUGAUUAGGAUUACUUUACCCAAAAAAAAAAUCUUUUUUGUUCACUUCAAACAAAUUGCCCCCAACCUUUUCGACGUAAGAGUUUCACGCGUGACGAAAAGGUGCUCCCACUUUUCUUUCUUUUUUCUUUUUUUGGCUCGAUCCCCAUUUUUUUUGUUCGGACCUCUUUUUUCCAAUUCGAUUCCCCCCUUUGACCGUACUUCUUUUUUUCUUUUUGCUUCUCCCCUACUUAGACCGUACUUUUUUUUUCUUCUUUUUAUUUUUGAUCAUCCUCGCACCAUAUGCAUUCAAUUUGAUUGCUCAGUUUAAUGACAUGGCGGUUAAUAUAAAUGUGCUCAGUUUAGUGACAUGGCGGUCGAUAUAAAAGUGCUUAGUUUAGUGACUUGGCGGUCGAUAUAAAUGUGCUCAGUUUAGUGACAUGGCGGUCGAUAUAAAUAUGCAUUGUUUAGUGACAUGGCGGUCGAUAUAAAAGUGCUUAGUUUAACGACGUGACGGUUGAUUGGAUAUGAAUUGCUUAGUUUAACGACAUGGCGGUCAAUUGGAUGUUAGUGAAUAUGGAUUUAUUUUGUCUUCAAGAAGCAAUCGAAAUUGCCGCGCUAAACGACCCUAAGGUGAGUUAGCAUUCCGUCUUGGGUAUCAGGGACUAUGGAUUUUUUUAUUUAUUUUGCCUUGAGAAGCAAUCGAAAUUGCCACGCAUAACCGACCCUAAGGAGAGUUAGCAUUCCGUCAUAGGUAAAAUAUAUCUUGGGUAGUCUGGCGCCCAUAUGGGUUUCCCCUAACUUUUGCCUGUGAGUCUCGAAAAGUUUUCUCACAGCAAAGAUCCCAAUUUUUCCUGUGAGAUUAUACCAUAGCCAGGGACUUUUCGCAAUUUUACCCUGGAAAUGCGAUGUGGACAAUCAAGUCCACUGGUGGCUCAUAUUUUACCUAUAUUAUUUAAAAAAAUUUAGAUAUAUAUAUAUAUAUUAUUUAUUUUGCCUCGAGAAGCAAUCGAAAUUGCUGCGCACAACCGACCCGAAAGUGAGUUAGCAUUCCGUCAUAGGCAAAAUAUAUCUUGGGUAGUCUGGUGCCCAUAUGGUUUUCACCAGGUAUCUUUCUCUAACUUUUGCCUGUGAGCCUCGAAAGAUUUUCUCACAGCAGGGAUCCCAAUUUUGCCUGUGGGAUUAUACCACAGCCGAGGACUUUUUACAAUUUUACCCUUGAAGUCCGAUGUAAAUAAUCAAGUCUGCUGGUGGCCCAUAUUAUCUAAAGAAAUUUAGACAACAUGUCCUCCACUUUUUUUCUUUUUUUUUUUGAGUAUCAAGAAAUAUACAUUUUUUUUUAUUUAUUUUGCCUCGAGAAGCAAUCGAAAUUGCCACGCAUAACCGACCCUUAGGUGAGUUAGUAUUCCGUCAUAGGCAAAAUAUAUCUUGGGUUUUAGGGAAUAUGGAUUUUUUUUUUUAUGUAUUUUGUCUCGAGAAGCAAUCGAAAUUGCUGCGCAUAACCGACCCUAAGAUGAAUUAGCAUUCCGUCAUAGACAAAAUAUAUUUUUAGUAAUAGGGAAUAUGGAUUAUUUUUUAUUUAUUUACCUCGAGAAGCAAUCGAAAUUGCUGCGCAUAACCGACCCUAAGGUGAGUUAGCAUUCCGUCAUAGACAAAAUAUAUCUUGGAUAGUCUGGCGCCCGAAUGGGUUUUCACCAGGUAUCUUUCCCUAAUUUUUUGCUUGUGAGCCUCGAAAGGUUUUCUCACAGCAGGGAUCCCAAUUUUGCCUGUGGGAUUAUAGAACAGUCGGGAACUUUUUGCAAUUUACCCUUGAAAUCUGAUAGGGACAAUCAAGUCCGCUGGUGGCUCAUAUUUUAUCCAUAUUAUCUAAAAAUUUAGACAACAUGUCCUCCACCUUUUUUUUUAGACCAAUUGAGAAGUGAUGGUUUAAUGAGUAUUGCCCCACUAUACAUGUUAGCCUCAUUUAAUUGGCUAUAUUUGCUCAGUUUAACGACAUGACGGUCGAGAUAUCAUGGUAUUUCCAUCAAUAGAAGAUACUGCUUUUGGAGUUUCUCGAGUUGUGUGCUUAGUAUUGGAUGCAGUCAUAUAAUUUUUCAGGCCAUACCCGUAUUUUUAGUGAUAGGGACAUAAUAUCGGGCCUUCAUUCCCGAUAGCUAAGCCUUUCUCACUGUUUCUUGAUAAAAAUUGGCUUGCAAUUUCCUUCUCGGCUUGAGACGCCUCAUAUAUUUUGUGUUGGUAUUCCUAUUUGAGGUUCAAGUGCUUGUAUAGAGUCAACUCGCUAUUCAUUUUUUCUUUGUUGGGGAGCAGGUGUUAUUUUCAUUACUUGCUCUACCCUAGCCUCAAUUCCAAUUAUCAUGGAGAACAUUACGUUCUGUUAUAUCUUCAGAUCUAAUAAUUUUUUAUUAAUUUUAUCAAAAUUCGAGGUCAUGAUCUCUUGUAUUUGUGCUAAUUGAUUUUGGCUAUCAUACGUUCUCUGCCGGUCUGGGAGAUCGUCCUCAUCACUUCUGACUGAGAUGACUCUACAUGUUUCAGGCCAAAAGAGCACCUUAUUCUCAGUUUCUUAAGACUUCUUUUUACUCUCUACAUCUUCCAAUGCUUUUUCUAUGAAGUCUUGUAUUGUUACUGCUGGUAUUUCAUCCAGCUUUUUGUGUUCAAGCUGAGCUGGUUUCAUGAAUUUUCGUACCUUCUCCUUUAAGAUUGUUUUUCGCUUUUCUAAAGUAGGAGGACUAUGUGCUAUUUCAGAUGAGGAAGUCUGAACUUCCGGAUGCAAUGGACUUCUCUAUGUAAUUCCAAGGACUGUGUUCAAAUAUUUCAACAUUUUGUGAGUCUUUUUCGAUAGGAAGAUAUUCCAAAAUUCAGGAUGAGGCAUACCCUCUUCUUCGUUAUUUUCAUCUUUUAUAUUCACAAAAUUUGUAUUUUCAGUUGGCGGAUCUGUAAGUACAGCUUGAGAAAGGGUGAUCAUGCCAGCUUUAUAUUGCUUUUCUACCCAGUCUUUGAAUACCCAACUAUCUUCAAUGGGGUGACUAAUCAUUUGGUGAUACAAGCAAUAGUUUGAGUCAUUUGUUUUCCCAACAUCUUCUAAUUUUCUCGGUUUCGGCAGUUGAAGGCCACUCUUUAAGGCAUCUCUAAAGAUUUUUUUCACCUUAUCUCUUUUGAAGGAUAAAUUUUAUUCUUUCUUUCUUCAAAAGUUGGCCCCUUAAAAUUAUUUCCACCCAAUUCAGAUUUCAGUGGUGCUUGCUCCGCUGUAGUGGUCAUAGCUUUCUUUCUUUUCUCCACCACAUUAGUGUGUAUCGCCUUAAGUGUUCAACUUUUUUGCCUUCUUCCCAUUUGGGCUUUUGGGUUUGGAGAUUCAUCAGAGCAUGUGGAUCUGUUCUCUCCAAUCUAGAAACAUUUAAUAUUAAAUCUUGAAAUGUAGUACAUUGGGUGGUGCAUAAAAACGGAGCCAUCCAGUUGUCAAUAUUACCCAUGAGCAAUCCAACAGCUUAGGUCUGAUCGAUAGGUUGUUCACAUCUGAUGUUCACAUUUCUCCACCAUGUGAUGUAUUCUAGCAUUGAUUUGUCUUUCAUUCUCUUGGUGGCGACUAGGUCAGCUAUUGUAAUGUUAUCACUGACCGUGGCAAAUUUAGUUCUAAAGGUUUCUUCCAUAUCGUCCCAUGUUGUGAUAGAUUCAUCAUUGAGUGAAUAGUACCACUCGAAUGCCACCCCUGGAAGACUUUGAGGGAAUUGACGUAAGAGGAGUGCACUAUUGCUUCCGGUAUUUCCACACGUGGCUCUAGAGUGUGCCAAGUGAUGAUCAGGGUUACCUAUUCAAUAAAAUGUCUUGAAUUUGGGGAUGAUAUAUCCAUCAGGAAAUGGGAUGUUAUCGUAUUCUAUAGGGUAUGGGUGCCCCCUGCUUUUUCGUUUUGGAGCCGCCUCAUCGAUUGUUUAUUUGACUUGCGAUUAGAUCAACUCUUGGAUCUCUUCCUUCGUCAUAAGAAAUUGCCUUGGUGGUUUUGUGGUUCCGCUGGUGCCGACUGCAGUGCGAUAGAAGGUGUCGUCUGUGCUGGCUGCAGUGUAUUCAUUGAUUGUGAUACAUUUUAACGCACUUCAUCUGACUGCAAUACAGUUUGGUUUCGUUGAUUUUCAAGAUUGGACUGCACAUUCAGUAGCAGCCCCAUAACUUCAUCCAUAUUUUUGUAGAAAUUAAUUAUAUCUCUAUCAUUUUCAUCAAUUUGUCUUUUUAAAGAUGCAAUCAUGGCAUCUUUUGGAUCAUUGACCAUGAAAACCGGUUUUUCUUCUUCGUCCUCAUCAUGAGGAUCGUCGGGUAAGGAUGAGUCCGCUGGUAACCUUUGAAGGUUAGAUGACGUUGGGUCAUUUUGUCUCGCUACCCCCUUUCUACGAGUGGCAGCUCUAGUAAGCAUCUGAUUUAGCGCCUCUUACUCCUGUGAUUGAUCGAGCUCUUAAUGUCCAACCAUUUGAAUGGUAUGGACCACCAUAUUCUCAUUCUUCUCACAUGCGUCCUUAGUCAUUGGGACGAAUUCUUUUCGUACCCACACUUUGUUACGAGAUGGUAACGAUUGCUUUUGAGCUCCCAACUUUUCCAUUCGUCCCUUAAUGGCCUUAUAGGCCUUGUAGAUUCUUUUAGAAAUAUUUUCCUCUUGAUGUUCUUUAAUAGUUCCUUGACAUCUCUUCGGAACUUCUAACCGAUUCAUUUUUAUUGUCGGUCGUAAAAUAGCGGACAUUGCAUUCUUUUUUACAAACUCUAAUGAGGCGAAAGAGUUGUGAGUCGAAAAUGCUAACUGGAUCAUUUGGGGCUCUUGAACACUAUUGUCCUUGCCCCCAGCAAUCUUUCCUCUGUGGAGUUGGCGGCGGUUAUUCCUCUUAAAGGACACUCUUGUCGGAGGAAUAGUGGUUGUAAUAUCAUUAGAAAGCGCCAGCCUAUCGAAUACUGAUGCUUUCUGCACCCUGCCCUUUGGGAAUAUCAGUCUUCCUUCAGACUCCAUCCUUUUGGAUGCAGGUUGGUAAAUAAGUCAUCGCCUAUGGGUUGGCGAGGAGGGUUGGGGAUGACCACAUUAGGUCGUUUUCCUCGAGAUGGUAGCCGAGAAAUGACAACAUUGCAUACAUCUUGUGAAGGGGCGGCGGGAAUGGUCAUGCCCCCAGUAGCAGCAGGAAUUUGAGCCAUGACAGCAACUCGAACAUGUUCCGGAAUGGUGCCAAACUGGAUUGAGGCACUUGUAGUUUCGAAUGUCAGGACAGACGUAGGCAAGCAGACUCGCAAACCCACCUCCAAUAUCAUUGAGUUUGCUGAUGCAGCGACAACGUUCUUUGAUGUUGGUGUCAUUUCCCUAUUGGAAAAAAGGUAGAAGUUAGGAACCUUUUUUUUUUUUUUUAGGUCUCGAAAAUGGAAGAAGAAGCCAUGUCCCACCGGGCGUACCAUUUUGUCUGCCACCACGAAUGACGCACCUCGCACGGUCAAUGGAUUUAAGCCGUGGGGUUGUAUUCAUGAUUCAGAUUAGUAUUCAUAUGUAUAUGGGUAUGAGGUAUUGCGGGUUCAUGGCUUCCAAAAAAUGCAAGUAUCCACUGUUAAUUACCCCCGUGGCAUUGAGGCACCUUCGAUGAAGAGACCUUUAUAGAUGGGAUUGAAUGAAUCGUAUAUUGGUUUAUUGAAUCCUAAGUAUAUGUAUUAGGAUUCAGUUGGAUUUGAGAUUGACUAGGUCCUAAGUAUAUGUGUUAAGACCUAGUCGAUAUUAAACUCUAAAUAUAUACAUUAGAGUCCAAUUGGCUCUAAUUAUAUGUCUUAGAGUCCAAUUAUAUUCAUCUUGGUUGUAUAUUCCAAGGUGGAGAUGUAACCAAACCCCAAGUAUAUGUAUUGAGGUAGGUCGGAUUUGAUAUUACCCGAAAGUAGAGAGUGGCUAAUUCCUGAGUGUAUGCAUCAGGAUUAACCAAGUUUAAUAUAUUUUUUACUCUAGUUAUAUGUGCUAGAGUAAGGAUCUGACUAAGCCCUAAGGUAUUAUGUUAGGGUUCAUCGGAUUUGAUUUGCAUAAGCUCUAAACAUAGGUAUUAGAGCUCGAUCAGGUAUGGAUUUCACUCUAGAUAGAUGUGCUAGAGCAAAAGGCUGACUAGACCCCAAGUGUAUGUAUUAGGACUAGUCGAGCUUGGUUUGACUUCUACUCUAGUUAUAUGUGCUAGAGCAAAAGGUUGAUUAGACCCUAAGGAUAUGUGUUAGAGUUAGUCGGACGAACUCUAAGUAUAUACAUUAGAGUUCGAAUAAAUUUAAUAUCAUUUGACUAAAUUCUAAAUAUAUAAUUUAGAACUCUGUCGAUUUGGAGAUAUUUUGCCUUAGUUAUAUGUGCUAAGGCAAUUGACUUAGCCCUAAGUAUAUGUAUUACGGGUAGUCGAUAUUUAAUUUUUACUCUAGGUAUAUGUGCUAAAAUAGAAAAGGUUCAUGAUGAACUUUGGAUAUGAUUUAGUUCAUAUAUGGUUCAUGAGAUUUGGGCAUUGGUUCAUGAGGUUUUGUUUAUGGUUCAUGAGGUUUGGUUUAUGAUGUAUGAGGUUUGGUUUGUGGCUCAUGAGGUUUGGCUUAUGGUUCAUGAGGUUUGGUUUAUGGCUCAUGAGGUUUGAUUUAUGGUGUAUGAGGUUUGGUUUAUGGCUCAUGAGGUUUGGUGUAUGGCUCAUGAGGUUUGAUAUGUGGGAUUUGGUUCAUGAACUUGGAUAUGGUUCAUGGAUUUGGUAUAUGAACUUGGUUUAUGGACUUAGUUCAUGGUUCAUGAACUUGGAUAUGGUUCAUGGAUUUGGUAUAUGAACUUGGUUUAUGGACUUGGUUCAUGGUUCAUGAACUUGAUUCAUUUGGUUCAUGAACUUGGUUUAUGGACUUGGUUCAUGGUUCAUGCACUUGAUUCAUUUGGUUCAUGAACUUGGUUUAUGGAUUUGGUUCAUGAUUCCUGAACUUGGUUUACGGUUCAUGGGGUUUGGUUUAUGGUUCAUAAACUUGGUGUAUAGUACUUGGUUUUGGUUUAUGGUUCAUGAACUUGGUGUAUGGUUUAUGGGGUUUGGUUUAUGGUUCAUGAACUUGGUGUAUGGUUUAUGGGGUUUUGAUUCGUGGUUCAUGAACUUGGUUCAUGAGGUUGGGUAUGUGGGAUUUGGUUCAUUAACUUGGGUAUGCUUCAUAGGGUUUGGUUGGGUUUGGAUUUUAUUUGUGGACUAGAUUUGAUUUUGGAUUCGGAUUUGGGUUUUAUUUGUGGACUUGGUUUGGGUUUUGGGUUUGGAUUUGGAUUUGUGGACUUGAUUUGAGUUGGGUUUGGAUUUUAUUUGUGGACUGGGUUUGGUUUUGGGUUCGGAUUUGGGUUUUAUUAGUGGACUUGGUUUGGGUUGGGUUUAGAUUUUAUUUGUGGACUUGGUUUGGGUUUUGGGUUCGGAUUUGGGUUUUAUUUGUGGACUUGGUUGGGUUGGGUUUGGAUUUUAUUUGUGGACUGGAUUGGAUUAUGGUUUUGGAUUUGGGUUUUAUUUGUGGACUUGGUUUUCCUUUCAAUUCUAUUUCGGGUCUGAGGAAAUCAUCUUUUGAUUUUGCAAUUUGAUUUGGGGUCCGAAGAAAUCCCCUUUUGAUUUUACAAUUUGAUUUGGGGUCCGAAGAAAUCCCCUUUUGAUUUUGCAAUUUGAUUUGGGAUCCGAAGAAAUUCCCUUUUGAUUUUGCAAUUUGAUUUGGUGUCCGAAGAAAUCCCCUUUUAAUUUUGCAAUUUGAUUUGGUGUCCGAAGAAAUCCCCUUUUGAUUUUGCAAUUUGAUUUGGGGUCCGAAGAAAUCCUCUUUUGACCUAAAUUUGGGGUCUGAAAAAAUUUCCGUUUUGAUCUCGAUUUGGGGUUCGAAGAAAUUUCCGUUUUAAUCUUGAUUUGGGGUCCGAAGAAAUCCCCGUUUGAUUUCGAUUUGGGGUCCGAAGAAAUUCCCGUUUUGACCUCAAUUUGGGGUCCGAAAAAAUUCCGUUUUGAUCUCAAUUUGGGGUCUGAAGAAAUCCCCGUUUGAUCUCGAUUUGGGGUCCGAAGAAAUCCCCGCUUGAUCUCGAUUUGGCUUGAAUCUAAACUGGUUUGAAAGUUUUAUGGAUUGAUUCAAUGUUCUCGAAAGGGAUUGAAGGGUCCAAAAAAAAUGGGGAAUUUUUGAUUCCCCUCCCCUUUUCUUUCGAAAACACCGAACCGAUAAGGUUGGAGAUGACGGCGGCGAAGAUGAUUACGGUGGCAUAGAUCUUAACGGCUGGCGGAUUUGAUUUGAUAUUUUCGAAAGAUGUUGAAGGGUCCAAAGAAACGGGAAAUCAAAUAUUUCCCUCCCCUCUUCUUUUGAAAAUAUCAAACUGGCGAUGCUGGAGAUGACGUCGGUGAAUAUGAUGACGGUGGCGCGGAUUUAUUCGGCUGGCAAAUUUGGUUCGAUAUUUUCAAAAGAGAUUGAAGGGUCCGAAGAAACGGGAAAUCUUUGAUUCCCCUUCCCUCUUCUUUCGAGAAUACCAAACCGUCAAUGCUGGAGGUGGUCGCGGCAAUGUAGAUCACCCAUUCCAUCAAUUAACGGCUUCGAAUGGGGUAUUAAGAGGUCCGAAGAAACUGGAAGCCAUUGGCUCCCCUCCACUCUCCCAACGAUGUUGUCCAAAUGGUAUGGAUGACUACGGUAGCAGGACCUAAAACAAAGAAAAAGAAAAGGGGGGGAAGAAAAAAGAUCUUUUUUUUUUGACAUAUUUUAUUAUAUAUAUAUUUUUUCUUCUUUCUUUUUUUUUUACCUGUUGAUCAGAUGACGAAUUGGAUGAAGCGGCUCGGCGAUCUCUCCUCCUUUUUGCGGCUCGACGAUCUCUCAUCCUUUGAAUUUUUUGUACGUAGGAACGCGUGUAGCAAUGGUGCAAAUAAUAAUAUCUUUCCUCUUUUUAUCGUAAUCUCUCUCUGUAUCGCUAUCGUCUCCCUCUAUCUAUUUGUUCUCUCCUCUUUUUUGUAUCGUCCUCCGUAUUGAUUUUUAUUCUCAUAUUUAUAGUAGAAGGGGCAGCGAGAGAUAUUUUGAGGAGUCGGUUAGGGAUUCGAAAUUCGAAAUCAAAUUUUGAAUCGGUUGUUGGAUGGAUAGGUAUUCAAAAUUCGAAUGGAUGUGGUUGGUUGGAAGAUAUUUUGGGAGUUGGUUGGGGAUUCGAAAUUCGAAAUCGGUUGUUGUGGUUGGUUGGAAGAUAUUUUUGGGGUUGGUUGGGAAUUCGAAAUUCGAAAUCGAUUUUUGAAUCGGUUGUUGGAUGGAUAGGUAUUCAAAAUUUGAAUGAAUGUGGUUGGUUGGGAGAUUUUUUUGGGCUUGGUUUCAGUUGGUUGUGAGAUAUUUUGGGAGUUGGUUGUGGUUUGUUGAGAGAUAUUUUGGAAAUUGGUUGAGAAUUUGAAAUCGAAUAUGGAUAUGGGUCGUCAUUGAUUUGGCCAAUUUAAUGAAAUUUGUUGGGCACAAAUAAUAACAUUCAGUGGGCUGAAAU
Molecule: long non-coding RNA, 10398 nt
Filed under: Ananas comosus (pineapple)
Lineage: Eukaryota; Viridiplantae; Streptophyta; Magnoliopsida; Poales; Bromeliaceae
Description: long non-coding RNA (ACOM_LNC008845)
Source: RNAcentral